UUUUUAUCUGUGUCAGACUUAACUGAGUAUUUGAAUGGGUCACUGUUUGGAAUGAAGUGUGCAUACGCUGUCUAUUUUAGGACAUCUUCAGGGAUGUAUGGACACUCAGUCAUCUGCUCCUCUUGUUGUGUUUUCAGGGAUGAAGAGAAGAUGGCUACUGGAUGUUCUCUGGACUGGAUCCUGUAUCAGCAGCAGCAGUGGAAGAUCCAUUUUAGAUCUGGCUAUCAUCAAUAUCAUUUAUUAAUAUCAGAAUACAGACCUUUAGACUAAUGUGAGGAGUGUUGUCCAGUGUUCCUCAGCCCCUUCUGGACAGGUACAUAAUGGGACACUUCACGUUUCCUCAGUCCCUUCUGGACAGGUACAUAAUGGGACAGUUCACGUUUCCUCAGCCCCUUCUGGACAGGUACAUAAUGGGACAGUCCACUUUUCAUCACAUCCCCCAUGGAAAGUUACAGUCCACUUUAACCACCAACACCCCUUGCCUCCAUAACGUACAUGGGACAGUCUCACAUUUCUUCUAGAAUAAGACAUGACAGUCAUCCACUCCAGUUCACCCAAUGGGAUUCCAACAGAAUGACUUAUUCUACUGCACAUGUCUAAAGCACUGCCUU
Molecule: long non-coding RNA, 611 nt
Organism: Oncorhynchus tshawytscha (Chinook salmon)
Lineage: Eukaryota; Metazoa; Chordata; Actinopteri; Salmoniformes; Salmonidae
Source: Ensembl